GUUGUCUUCUCCAAGGGGUGUGUCGGCGCCGUUCUUUUCUCUGCUGUGGGUCUGAACUGGAUCGGAGCUUUGUGUGCCUUCGCAUAGGCGGGGGUCCUUGGACAGGUUGGCGCCUCGGUUACGGUUGUUGGUGAUGUUAGAAUACCAGACUUUGCUAAAGAAAUAUUGGAGAAGGGACCUGCGUAUGCAUUGCAGAAACAAGCCUCUAUGUGGGAUGAUAUCCCAAUCUUUGAGAGUUUAAUUAGCCAGCAGGAUGAUUUAAGUAAGGAAUGCUUAAGAUGGGAAUUCGUAAGGCAAAAAGAAGCGGAAAGUAGGAAGUCACGAGGCUUAGUAAAAAUGGAGUUGAGAAAGGACUGGCUAAAUGUUAAAAAAACCCUGAAAUGGAUGGAUCAGGAAAAUUUGGUGAUGACCAGAGAAGAUAAGACGAAGAAGAUGGUUAUUAUGGAUAGGUCAGCCUACGAUGAG
RNAcentral lists this long non-coding RNA (465 nucleotides) under Androctonus crassicauda. Lineage: Eukaryota; Metazoa; Arthropoda; Arachnida; Scorpiones; Buthidae. The record is from RNAcentral.